RNAcentral lists this ribosomal RNA (402 nucleotides) under uncultured bacterium. RNAcentral describes it as "bacterial SSU rRNA". It matches the Rfam family "Bacterial small subunit ribosomal RNA", at positions 355 to 774 of the family's 1533-position model. The record is from RNAcentral.
UGGGGAAUAUUGCACAAUGGGCGAAAGCCUGAUGCAGCAACGCCGCGUGAGUGAUGAAGGCCUUCGGGUUGUAAAGCUCUGUCUUCUGGGACGAUAAUGACGGUACCAGAGGAGGAAGCCACGGCUAACUACGUGCCAGCAGCCGCGGUAAUACGUAGGUGGCAAGCGUUGUCCGGAUUUACUGGGCGUAAAGGAUGCGUAGGCGGAUACUUAAGUCAGAUGUGAAAAUCCCGGGCUUAACUUGGGAACUGCAUUUGAAACUGGGUAUCUAGAGUGCGGGAGAGGAAAGUGGAAUUCCUAGUGUAGCGGUGAAAUGCGUAGAGAUUAGGAAGGACACCAGUGGCGAAGGCGACUUUCUGGACCGUAACUGACGCUGAGGCAUGAAAGCGUGGGGAGCAAACA